Vicia faba (fava bean) is the source of this 267-nucleotide non-coding RNA. The record is from the annotation of a GenBank genome assembly. NCBI's taxonomy places the organism in Eukaryota, Viridiplantae, Streptophyta, Magnoliopsida, Fabales, Fabaceae.
AUGGAGAUGUCUUCCCACACCCUGUUUGGAAUAGUUAAUGUUCGGAAUACCUGGACAAGAAAAAGAUGCAGACACUCUUACAAGGGUUGCUUUAACACUGGAAUAUCCUACCGUCUGAGUGGCAUGAAACUCGUGGAGAACACUUGUAUGCAGCCUCUCGGUGUUAGAUAUGGAAUUGGUGAAGAAAGGGAAAACAACAAAGACUCGUCAAAGGAGUAUUUUUGGCUUAAGGCAUCCACUACCACAUUGGACUUACCAGGUUUGUAA